GGCAGGAAGAGGGUGGAUCAUAAUGGUGUU
Molecule: non-coding RNA, 30 nt
Filed under: Mus musculus (house mouse)
Lineage: Eukaryota; Metazoa; Chordata; Mammalia; Rodentia; Muridae
Source: RNAcentral